UCUCCCUGUAAAUAAAGCAAACUGAACUACAAAGCUCAAGAUUCUCCCGCGUUAAGUAAACUUCAAAUUAAAAGUAUGGCCUCAAGUGAAACCAGAAACAAACACCAAAACGGCAUCGGCGUCAUCAACAGAUGACGACUCAUUGAAGCUCACCGUUGCAAUUUCCCUCCUGCGAUCAAAACUUCUCCAGAAACAGCCUCCUCCUGCUCCUCCUCCUAACAAUCUUCCUUCAGAAUCCGCCGCUCUUCGCUGGAUUUUCGUCUAUCUAUAUUCUCUGUUUGGAACACAAUCAAAUGCAGCCAUUUGACUCGCGAUUAGGUUUUGACAAAACAAACAGAGCAUAAUUACGCUCUGUUUUUUUUUUUUUUUGAAAGACUGGAGCGAAAACAAGAGCUUCGACUGAGAGAAGAUCUCAAGGAAGCUGAAGUGCCGUUAAAGAUAAAGAAGGAAGAAGAAGAAAUAAUUCAAAUAGAAAACAACGAUUUUCAGAGUCACAUCAAAUUUAACUGAUACCCAGUUCUAUAUUCACCACUUGAUCCGAAAACUUGGAUGUGAACCUUACUUUGGGCAGCGUGCAAUAUCCAGUUUCUCAAAGAAUUUCCAUGGUAGCAGAAAAAGUGCUAUUCUUGGAGCCAUUUGAUAAGAGGCUUUUCCAAACUUGCAUGAGUGCCUGUUCAUCAUAUAGGUACUAUGAUGAUAUGAUCCAGCUUAUUGAGUUUUUGAUAUCAGGCUACUUGUUAACUUGGUUGAGGGAUGAAGGCUUUGACUGUGGUAUGUAUCUUUCCUGCCUUUUGUCCAUGUUGCUUAGGUUCUCGUUGGUUUCUGCUGAUUAAGCUUCCUCUUGGUUUUGCAUUCGAAUUUCAUGUUAGCUGUUUUACAAUUAGUAUUUCUCUAAAGCUGGAUCGGAAGUUAAUACAUUCUUGGCAUUCUGUAAUUUGAGAACAUUAUUGGUAUACUUCUCUUUGUUGGAUCUAUGAUCACGCUUUAGAAGCAUGCAUCAGAAACCAUAAACAUGGCAUCCGAUAGCUCCAUUGCAGCGGUAUUUGAGGAGUGGGUGAUCUCAUUUCUCCAUGCUCGCAAAGUGCUAGCACUUCUUGAGAGCAGAAAAGGGCUUCAUGUUUCGUACUUGGAUCGAGUCACAGGUGAACUGGCUAAACAUGUGGGCCAGGUUUCAACAUUUCAGGAGCUCAGCCAAGAUAUUCUUGAUAAACUAUUCUGCCGACUAAAUCAUGCAUUCAUCCAAAUGCCAGUAUUUCCUGUCUAAAAUACCAGUGGACACCAACUGUCUAAGAUACCAGUGCUUUAUUUGUUUUUGCAAAGCAUAUGCCAAAGGAACAUGUUUAACAGCAGAAGAGUAAGGCCUUUGCAUAGUAAGAUCUAAAUAAAGUCUGCGUAGUAUUAGUUGGAAGCAUUGUAUCUAGGAAAAAAGAUAGAAAGAUUUGAUUAAAUUAAAAAUCAUCUUCCACUUUAGGUGCUUUAGUAGUUUAUUGACAUUACACCAAUGCCUUGGAGUCAAUAUUUGGUAUCAGCAUCAAGAAUCAUCCUCCACCUAGCUUUAUUUUGUUUCAAUUGUUUUUUUGGCAAUCUAAGUAAUUUACCCCAUGAAUUUUAUUACAAGGGGUAUCCUGUAGAAAACUCCAAGCUAGUCUUGGGAUAAAGAAGUCCUAGCU
Molecule: RNA transcript, 1670 nt
Organism: Populus euphratica (Euphrates poplar)
Lineage: Eukaryota; Viridiplantae; Streptophyta; Magnoliopsida; Malpighiales; Salicaceae
Exons: 4
Source: RefSeq, a predicted model, not a curated record